RNAcentral lists this ribosomal RNA (301 nucleotides) under uncultured bacterium. RNAcentral describes it as "partial 16S ribosomal RNA". It matches the Rfam family "Bacterial small subunit ribosomal RNA", at positions 509 to 807 of the family's 1533-position model. The record is from RNAcentral.
CAGUAGCCGCGGUAAUACGUAGGGUGCAAGCGUUAAUCGGAAUUACUGGGCGUAAAGCGUGCGCAGGCGGUUAUAUAAGACAGAGGUGAAAUCCCCGGGCUCAACCUGGGAACUGCCUUUGUGACUGCAAGGCUAGAGUACGGCAGAGGGGGAUGGAAUUCCGCGUGUAGCAGUGAAAUGCGUAGAUAUGCGGAGGAACACCGAUGGCGAAGGCAAUCCCCUGGGCCUGUACUGACGCUCAUGCACGAAAGCGUGGGGAGCAAACAGGAUUAGAUACCCGCGUAGUCCCUGUCUCUUAUAC